CCUACGGGAGGCAGCAGUGGGGAAUAUUGCACAAUGGGGGAAAGCCUGAUGCAGCAACGCCGCGUGAGUGAUGAAGGCCUUCGGGUCGUAAAGCUCUGUCCUCAAGGAAGAGAAUGACGGUACUUGAGGAGGAAGCCCCGGCUAACUACGUGCCAGCAGCCGCGGUAAUACGUAGGGGGCUAGGGUUAUCCGGAGGUAUUGGGCGGAAAGGGUGCGUCGGUGGUUUCUUAAGUCAGAGGUGAAAGGCUACGGCUCAACCGUGGCAAGCCUUUGAAACUGGGGAACUUGAGUGCAGGAGAGGAAAGUGGAAUUCCUAGUGUAGCGGUGAAAUGCGUAGAUAUUAGGAGGAACACCAGUUGCGAAGGCGGCUCUCUGGACUGUAACUGACGCUGAGGCACGAAAGCGUGGGGAGCAAACAGGAUUAGAUACCCCUGUAGUC
This 439-nucleotide ribosomal RNA is filed under the name uncultured bacterium. Its description in RNAcentral is "partial 16S ribosomal RNA". It matches the Rfam family "Bacterial small subunit ribosomal RNA", at positions 338 to 795 of the family's 1533-position model. The record is from RNAcentral.